Molecule: transfer RNA, 66 nt
Filed under: Geukensia demissa (ribbed mussel)
Lineage: Eukaryota; Metazoa; Mollusca; Bivalvia; Mytilida; Mytilidae
Description: tRNA-Glu
Source: RNAcentral
GUUUAAGUAGUGUAAAUUGCACACAUAAUUUUCAUUUAUGUAGAAAACUAACAAGUUUCUUAAAUU